Molecule: ribosomal RNA, 253 nt
Filed under: uncultured bacterium
Lineage: Bacteria
Description: partial 16S ribosomal RNA
Rfam family: Bacterial small subunit ribosomal RNA
Source: RNAcentral
UACGGGGGGGGCAAGCGUUGUUCGGAAUUACUGGGCGUAAAGGGCUCGUAGGUGGCCAACUAAGUCAGACGUGAAAUCCCUCGGCUUAACCCGGGAACUGCGUCCGAUACUGGAAGGCUUGAAUCCGGGAGAGGGAUGCGGAAUUCCUGGUGUAGCGGUGAAAUGCGCAGAUAUCAGGAGGAACACCGGUGGCGAAGGCGGAUCUCUGGGCCUUACCUGACGCUCAGGUGCGAAAGCUAGGGGAGCGAACAGG